AGUCACCUGCAUGUGUCUGACCGUGGAGGAAAUUGUGGUUCAGUUCACCAAGGGACUUGUACAACUCUGCAUUAAGGAAAUGUUCUGGUAAAGCCACUGCUGCCCCCCCACACCAGUGAAAAAUGCAACUGAAGAAAUGGCUGAGGAUCUUUCAAGAUGAUCCUGAGCAAAGAAGACACAAAAGUGCUGAUGCUCCACAGCAAGGGUUGUGUUCUGACAAGUGGAGAUGAUCUAUCGUGACACAGAUACGAUGAUACAAUCCUGAAAUGGGGCCACCCAUAAUGACUUGAUGCUGUUCGUCAUGCCUCUGAUCUUUAUUGUUAUUAUCACUACACUUACUGGCCCAUGGCUCCGAGCGUUAGUUAGCACAGCAGCUUGCUCGCUGGUGCUCAUGGAGCUGAUGUUUGCCUCACAAGUGCUGGAGGCAGUGGUUAUAUUGCUGGCAGCAAACACUCACAGUAAUUGAUUUUUUGAUGAAAAAGUUGUCAACAAAACUUCUAGUUUUUUUUUUUUUUCUUGCGCUACUUGGCAAUAGCUAGCCUUUUUUUAUUCCCCUCACAGCAACAUAUGAAUUUACAAGAGAAAUUAAUUAAAAGUGAAGCGACUAUAUUUC
Lates calcarifer (barramundi perch) is the source of this 613-nucleotide long non-coding RNA. RefSeq lists it as uncharacterized. The transcript is spliced from 3 exons. The record is from RefSeq and is a predicted model, not a curated record. NCBI's taxonomy places the organism in Eukaryota, Metazoa, Chordata, Actinopteri, Centropomidae.